AUGUAUUGGAAUUUUAGUUUAUAAAUUGAAUUUUAGGAUAUGAAUUGAACUUUUGUGGAUAUGAGUUGAACCUUUAGGAUAUGAAUUGAACCUUUAGGAUAUAAGUUGGACUUUUAGUUUAUGUAUUGAAAUUUUAGUUUAUAAAUUGAAAUUUUAGGAUAUGACUUGAACUUUUGUGGAUAUGAGUUGAACCUUUAGGAUAUGAAUUGAACCUUUAGGAUAUGAGUUGGACUUUUAUUUUAUGUAUUGAAAUUUUAGUUUAUAAAUUGAAAUUUUAGGAUAUGACUUGAACUUUUGUGGAUAUGAGUUGAACCUUUAGGAUAUGAAUUGAACAUUUAGGAUAUGAAUUGGACUUUUAGUUUAUGUAUUGGAAUUUUAGUUUAUAAAUUGAAAUUUUAGGAUAUGACUUGAACUUUUGUGGAUAUGAGUUGAACCUUUAGGAUAUGAAUUGAACAUUUAGGAUAUGAAUUGGACUUUUAGUUUAUAAAUUGAAAUUUUAGGAUAUGACUUGAACUUUUGUGGAUAUGAGUUGAACCUUUAGGAUAUGAAUUGGACUUUUAGUUUAUGUAUUGGAAUUUUAGUUUAUAAAUUAAAAUUUUAGGAUAUGACUUGAACUUUUGUGGAUAUGAGUUGAACCUUUAGGAUAUGAAUUGAACCUUUAGGAUAUGAGUUGGACUUUUAGUUUAUGUAUUGAAAUUUUAGUUUAUAAAUUGAAAUUUUAGGAUAUGACUUGAACUUUUGUGGAUAUGAGUUGAACCUUUAGGAUAUGAAUUGAACCUUUAGGAUAUGAAUUGGACUUUUAAUUUAUGUAUUGGAAUUUUAGUUUAUAAAUUAAAAUUUUAGGAUGUGACUUGAACUUUUGUGGAUAUGAGUUGAACCUUUAGGAUAUGAAUUGAACCUUUAGGAUAUGAAUUGAAAUUUUUGGUUUAUGUAUUGGAAUUUUAGUUUAUAAAUUAAAAUUUUAGGAUAUGACUUGAACUUUUGUGGAUAUGAGUUGAACCUUUAGGAUAUGAAAUGAAAUUUUUUGUAUGAAUUGAACUUUUAGGAUAUGAAUUGAACCUUUAGGAUAUGAAUUGAACCUUUAGGAUAUAAAUCGAAAUUUUUGUGUAUGAAUUAAAUUUUUAGGAUAUGAAUUGAGCUUUUGUGGAUAUGAAUAGAAAUUUAGGAUUGCGGGAGGAUUUUGUAGAAGGGUUUGAUAACUUUAUUAGACAUGCAAUGGAACUUCCACCAAGAAUAACUUAGACACAGUAUCUGGCAUAGUGUGCCUUUAAUUGUUGUUCUCAUUAGCGACAAUGAUGAUGAGAAGGCAAUGGCAUGUGUUUCAAAAAGUGAUGGUGUAGGUAGGAAUUUAACAUUUCCUAAGUAGAUAAAAGAAAAGGUUAUAGAGGAAUUCUCUACUUCAUUUUCCAAGAGGAAGUAGAGAAUUCCUCUAUAAC
Molecule: long non-coding RNA, 1436 nt
Filed under: Nicotiana tabacum (common tobacco)
Lineage: Eukaryota; Viridiplantae; Streptophyta; Magnoliopsida; Solanales; Solanaceae
Description: long non-coding RNA (NTAB_LNC001370)
Source: RNAcentral